AAGCCUGAAAAGAGGCCUAGUCUCUUAUCAAAACUGCUGGAAAAGCGCAAGGAGCAGUUAAUUGGCAGUACAGCUGUACAGGAAUGCACAAAUUGCUGUGCCUUGAAAGAAAAAAUAAAGCAGCUGGAAGAAGACAACAGAAGAGUAGUUCUUCACUUGGACACCAUAAAUGAGUUGAAGAGCAUGGUGUGUGCGCUGAAAGGGGACUUAGAAGAAAGAAGUGCCCCUUCAAAGCAUCAAAAACCAGCCAUAUUUGCACAUCCACA
Molecule: long non-coding RNA, 266 nt
Organism: Carassius auratus (goldfish)
Lineage: Eukaryota; Metazoa; Chordata; Actinopteri; Cypriniformes; Cyprinidae
Exons: 3
Source: RefSeq, a predicted model, not a curated record